AUUGAACGCUGGCGGCAGGCCUAACACAUGCAAGUCGAACGAGUGGCGGACGGGUGAGUAAUGUCUCGGAAACUGCCUGAUGGAGGGGGAUCACUACUGGACACUGUAGCUACUACCGCAUACCGUCGCCUGUGCCCCGAUGGGAUUAGCUAGUAGGUGGGGAAAAGGCUCACCUAGGCGACGAUCCCUAGCUGGUCUGAGAGGAUGACCAUCCACACUGGAACUGAGAAACGGUCAAGACUCCUACGGGAGGCAGCAGUGGGGAAUAUUGCACAAUGGGGGCAAGCCGGAUGCAGCCAGGCCGCGUGUAUGAAGAAGGCCUUCGGGUUGUAAAGUACUUUCAGCGGGGAGGCGUUACCCGCAGAAGAAGCACCGGCUAACUCCGUGCCAGCAGCCGCGGUAAUUC
RNAcentral lists this ribosomal RNA (406 nucleotides) under uncultured bacterium. Its description in RNAcentral is "partial 16S ribosomal RNA". It matches the Rfam family "Bacterial small subunit ribosomal RNA", at positions 30 to 526 of the family's 1533-position model. The record is from RNAcentral.